AACACAAAGUAAAGGUAUGGUAAACACAAGAGAUCUAUGAACUACCACAGAGUACAUUUGAUCUACACUACCAGUACCUUAACCCUACUUUUUCAAGAUGGCUAAUUCCACUUUUACAAUUAUAAGUAAUCAAUGUUCUACCUUCUAAAAAUCUACUGCAAAGCCGGCAACUAAACGAGCUAUACUUUCGUGCAGCAUUAUACUUAACACUUCAAAUUGCAAUACUGCAGCUAAACCUCGGAGCUAAUGUCACAGAUACCAGUAAGUAACCAAUGUAACAGGGACAAAGGUUUGAAACAGUAACAGGAACUGGGUGUCGACCGAGGUGUCGACAAAGAAAAAGGGCAACAUAAACACCUGGCAGUGUGUUUGUAGUGAGACCACUAACAGCUAUAAAUCAAUCCCGUAGAUUCUCCCUAAAAGUUACCAAUUCUGCUUCGCCCCUAUAAUGGACAAUCACAUUCUUCAAGAAUGAGAGAAACUGUAAGAGUAAGGGAACGUAAAAUACCGUCGCACUGAAAAAACAAAAAAAAAACAAGUCGUCUAGUAAAUCACGUUGUAAAAUGGCAACUGUCUCCCGAUCCUACGAAGAUAAUGGAAGACACCAACACCGAACGUAACCUCCAAUGGAAACAGCGACACACGACCGCGUCACUUGUAUAUUCACGAGUUAAAUAUGCGAAACAGGAGGAACAAGAUGUCAACUGCCAUGCAAAAGCAGAGUCCAUAUCACAGCAACUCGCCCCCGCUGUCCACAUAACAAAAACCUAUAAAACAAAAAUCAAAUUGCAAGAGAACUUCCACAGCAGAGACUCCACAUCCAUCCCUCAUCAGCACACUCCCCUUAGAAUCCGUUGGGCAGAACUGAAGAAUGGGACACAAAGUGUCAAGGUAGACACGGCCCCCUCCUUCUAUAGAUGUUACAAAAGCAGUAAAAUGAAAAUCGAAGCUGUAAGCUGAUUCUUUGAAAAACAACUGCAUUAGUCGGCUCUCACUGGCAUCCUCGAUGUCUAAACUGUCCGUUAGGAUGUGUGCAUCGGAGUCGAAAAACCUGCAAGCGAGCUACAAAAAUAAAACCAAGUGCAACUGUACUGGAAUGAACUCUCGCAACACGCCCCUGCAAUCCUCAUCCGAAAUCAACCAACUGAAAUGCAAACAGGUCCCAAACUUGUCUCUAAUGACGCCACCUAAAACCUGUUGUCCUUAUAAAUCCCUCGGAAGCCCCCUCUAUAAAACCUUGUGACAUGUAACUGCACCAAAUGCUGGAAUCAAUGCAGCAAAACCUGUGCAAAAAUUCCCCGUAUUGUUGAUCUAAUGGGCCCGCAACAUCGAGACUUGCUCCGUGAGUCAACAACAAUAAAUGCCACUUGAAAACAGUAAAAUAAACUUCCAUUCUCCUGGGUGCUGAAGUCGCUGAGGUCACUGGCACUUAAAGAAAAUCGCCCCUAAAAGUGUCAUGAGGGUCCUCUCGCCACCAUUCACCUUUCUAUGAAUCAAAACCCUGGAACACUUCUAAGAUCGGCAAGGGAACCAAAAAAACCACACAAUUGGAACCCCAGUUGAAAAACACGUCCUCAAGCAUGACAAGCUCCUGUAGUUGCAUCAAACAGCGAUGGUCAUGUGACACGUUUGUUUUGAAGGUGGAAUAAUAAGAACAAACAGACUCACCUGAUGUAUUUGCCUUGCGAAUUAUUUCACCGCCAACAUCCACCACAUGGAUCACCCUACUAACUCUGAUUUGGGAAAAUUUUCACAGGAGGUACGGUAAAGCAACUUGUUCCACCAAAACCUCUGCUUCAGGAUGAUUUAAUGGACAUCCCACUGCGUCAACCAUCAUAUACUCCCUUGUAGGAAUCUCCUUUGGAACGGUAACUGGAGAUUUUUCUUCCGCUACCCCUGCAUAAUAAAAUACAACAGCAGUAUGUUCGGAUCGGCAAAGUUCCUUCCACAAACUUCAUGGUCAAUGCGUCCUGGUCAACGGCACCAAUUCUGUAGUGUACUUAACCCCCAGGUUCUACGCUAAUCUCACACUACAAGAACACGGAAAUAAAAUAAACCCGGCAACGUUUAAAAAUGGCCACCCGAAUGACUAUUCCCUCUAAAACUAAACAAG
Photinus pyralis (common eastern firefly) is the source of this 2113-nucleotide long non-coding RNA. RefSeq lists it as uncharacterized. The record is from RefSeq and is a predicted model, not a curated record. Lineage: Eukaryota; Metazoa; Arthropoda; Insecta; Coleoptera; Lampyridae. The transcript has 3 exons.